Molecule: transfer RNA, 73 nt
Filed under: Mus musculus (house mouse)
Lineage: Eukaryota; Metazoa; Chordata; Mammalia; Rodentia; Muridae
Description: tRNA-Ser
Source: RNAcentral
GGAGAGGUGGCUCAGCGGUUAAGAGCAUCGACUGCUUUUCCCCAGGUCCUGAGUUCAAAUCCCAGCAACCACA